CAUAUUAUAAAACGGAAAUGGCGGAAGGGGAAAGCAUUUUUCUGUCGACGUAGUCAUGUCAGGUUCUCUGCAGCUCUCCCUAGAGAUAGGAAUCAGCAAGAACGAUUGGCGGAGCAAGCGUUUGCGGCAGCUGCAUAAUUCGAAAACAAGCGGCAAGCUAUGCCUCUUGAGAAAUAAUCUGCCGUCAAUUUCACUGAAACAGUAUUCUUGGAGUUCAGGUUUUCCAAAGAGAAUAUGGCACAGGACAAGCACCAGUGUUUGUAAAAACCAUCAGUUUAGAUGUCAUUGUUUUUUACAACCAGGCCCGGUUUUGGAUCCUAACUAUAUAAAGAAUACAGCUCAAACUUUAGCAAGAUCUUUUAAUUCAAUUCAAGGGAAUCCUGUUGUAAUAAAAUUGGCUUCAGCACUUGGCAUUGUUAUCUUUGCAAUUUGGGGACUUGGUCCUGUUGUGAAGAUAAGCAGGAAUAUUCUUUUGCAAAAGAAUGAUGGGAACUGGAAAAGAAGUUGCGCAUAUCUGGUAGCAACAUCCUAUAUUCAACCUUUACUACUGUGGAUGGGUGCAAUCAUUAUCUGCAGAACGUUGGACCCAAUGUCCCUUCCCACAGAAGGUGGUCAAAUUGUUAAACAAAGGCUCCUAACUUUUGUGAGAUCAUUGUCGACACUGCUGGCAUUCGCAUAUUGUUUGUUAAGUGUCAUACAACAACUGCAAACACACUUGAUGGUGACUUAUGGAUCCAGUGAUGCUAGAAAUAUGGGUUUUCAAUUUGCUACGAAAGGUGUGUACACAGUUGUGUGGAUUGCAGCUGUAUCAUUGUUUAUGGAGCUUUUAGGUUUCUCAACCCAAAGAUGGCUCACUGCUGGAGGGCUUGGAACAGUCUUGCUCACACUAGCUGGACGUGAGAUUUUCACAAAUUUCCUGUCAAGUGCAAUGAUUCAUGCCACCCGCCCUUUUAUUAUUAACGAGUGGAUUCAAACCAAGAUUGAAGGGUAUGAAGUGUCUGGGACUGUUGAGUCUGUAGGAUGGUGGGGACCGGCAAUAAUAAGAGGUGAAGACCGUGAAGCUGUUCAUAUUCCAAGCCACAAGUUCACUAUGAAUGUUGUUAGGAAUCUCAGUCAGAAAACACAUUGGCGAAUAAAAAGCUACAUAGCCAUCAAUCACUUAGAUGUUCGCAAAAUUAACAACAUUGUUGCUGACAUGCGCAAAGUCCUGGCAAAGAAUCCUCAGGUGGAACACAAGAAGUUGCAUAGAAGAGUGUUCUUCGAGAGUAUUAAUCCCGAAAAUCAGGCCCUCACGAUAUUGAUUUCCUGCUUCGUGAAGACCUCGCACAUGGAAGAAUAUUUGUGUGUAAAGGAAGCAAUUUUGCUUGAUCUUCUCAGAGUUGUUAAGCAUCACCAAGCCCGACUAGCCACUCCUAUCCGAACAGUUCAGAAAAUAUUAAAUGACACAGAGGUGGACAAUGUGCCAUUUUCAGAUUCUAUGUAUGACCAGGGGGCGGCGUCGAGCCGUCCUCUUCUACUGAUGGAGCCAAUCGCUGUUAAAGCCAAUGGAGAAGAGAAAACCAAAAGUCAAAGCCGACCGGUGCGUGCAGCUGGUGAAGAAGACAACAAGACUCCCACAAAGUCACCACCACCAGAUAAUACAGUGAAGGAGAUCCAAACACCAGAUGCCAAAGUGGAAUCCGAGAAAACGGGGGUGUCCAAAAUCAAGACAGUGGAGGAUUAUAAGGUAGCUGCUAAAUCUUCUUCAUCUCCCGCUCAGUUGUCCAAAAUCAAGACAGUGGAGGAUUAUAUAGUAGCUGCUGAAUCUUCUUCAUCUCCCGCUCAGUUGUCCAAAAUCAAGACAGUGGAGGAUUAUAUAGUAGCUGCUGAAUUUUCAUCAUCUACCGAGCUCGGCAACAGCCCCAAAACAGUUGAAAAGGUCGAAGUAGAGUCCAUCGAAGAAUCAUGUUCGAAUGUCGGCGUUGCUUCUGGCCCAACCCAGAGUCCUUUCGACAGCAAGAAUUCACAAAAGGCUGUCGAAGAAACUGCUACCCAAACAGCUGCAUCCUCACCCGACUCAGCAGUCAGAAGAUCUACUAACACCUCUUCUGCUUCUUCUCACCCCAAACAGGACGGAAAACAAUCAACGGCGAUGGGAAGCAAACCUUCUCUUGAAGAGAAUAUAGUUCUUGGUGUCGCUUUGGAGGGAUCAAAGCGAACUCUACCUAUCGACGACGAAGAGACCACACUAGCCAUCAAGGAAGAAAUCGAAGAAGACGGCCACAUUGCGAAGCAGCAGUAGUAGCAACAGCCAAGCAGUGGCCAGAAAGGAAAAGGGGAAAAAGUGACGGUAAGAGGUCGUCGAAUAGGAGCUUCUUGACUUAGCUAUUAGAACAAAGUUGAAGGCAUUGUUGAAGAUGAUUGUGUGCAGAUGUAGAUAUGAUUCAUUCAUGUGUAAUUGAAGGAAAAGCUUGCUUGAUGAGGACUUUGUUUGGUCACAUGAUCAUCGAUUUGCUGGUUCGUGUAAUAAAAUGUUUUACCAGCUUGCUGGAAAAUGUCUCCUUUAGCUAUGCUGUUGGAUGAGUCCUGCAGAAAUUGCUGCAUCCCUUGUCAGACACAAAGGUUUUGUUCUUUUUAGCAGCUCCAAUUUUUU
This is an RNA transcript of Andrographis paniculata, 2632 nucleotides long. It is a transcript of the gene named mechanosensitive ion channel protein 2, chloroplastic-like, with no coding region annotated. The transcript has 14 exons. The record is from RefSeq and is a predicted model, not a curated record. NCBI's taxonomy places the organism in Eukaryota, Viridiplantae, Streptophyta, Magnoliopsida, Lamiales, Acanthaceae.